This is a long non-coding RNA of Danio rerio (zebrafish), 4653 nucleotides long. NCBI's taxonomy places the organism in Eukaryota, Metazoa, Chordata, Actinopteri, Cypriniformes, Danionidae. The record is from Ensembl.
AACAAGUAGAGGAUAGCGUCAAUAAUGCACUGAAUACUCUUCUGAAUGAACCUACUAGUGCACCUUUACAACCCAAAUCAGCAAACUUCACGAGCACAUCUAACCAGAUUGUGGGCAUUAUGGGAUACACCUUCCAGGAGGAAGAUGUCAUCCAGCCAGUCAGUUUCCUAAAUGAACUUCGAUCACAGACAGGUUUGUCAAAAUGUAUGACUCUUGGUUAUUAAAAUAAAAAAUAAUAAUUUAAAGUCACAAGUGCUUCACAUCUCUCUUUCUGUUUUUAUUUUUAGCACCGACGACUACAAUGGCCACUUCCACUGCCAGUUCCACCCCUGCAGUUCCAAUAUCUGGAUUAGCGGUGGUCACAAGCAGGCUGUUGUUCAACUCCUCAUCUCCAGUCCCCAGGGAAGCUCUGGUCCUCACUGCUGUCGACACUCUUCUCAAAUCCCGAGAGUUACGGCUCAAUGAAUCAGUAAAAAUUGUUAAUGCUACCUAUAAGAAACUCUCAGACACCUCAUAUGCCAUCAUCUUUACAAUUAAUCUGACUAAAAUCAGCAUGCCUGAAGACCCUGUACUGAAAAACAAGAGCUACAAACAAGCCGAGGAUACCAUCAAUAUUGCACUGAAUACUCUUCUGAAUGAACCUACCAGUGCACCUUUACAACCCAAAUCAGCAAACUUCACGAGUACAUCUAACCAGAUUGAGGGUGUUAUGGGAUACGCAUUCCAGGAUGAAGAUGUCAUCCAACCAGUCAGCUUCCUAAAUGAGCUACGAUCACAGACAGUACCAACAACUACAAUGGCCAGUUCCACUGUGACUCCUGCUAUCCCAAUAUCUGGUUCAGCGGUGGUCACAAGCAGGCUGUUGUUCGACUCCUCAUCUCCAGUCCCCAGUAAAGCUCUGGUCCUCACUGCUGUCGACACUCUUCUCACAUCCAGACAGUCACAGCUCAAUGAAUCAGUGAAGGUGGUGAAUUUCACAUAUGAGCAAAUUUCAGAAAGCUCAUAUGCCGUCACCUUUAAAUUUAAUAUAACUCAACUCAGCAUGCCAAGUGACUCUGGGCUUAGAAACAACACAUACCUGCAAGUAGAGGAUACUAUAAGCAAAGCACUGAACACUCUUGUGAACGAACCUAAGAAUCCAACUUUAAAGCCCAAGUCAUCUAACUUCAAGAGUGCAUUAAAUCGUAUUGAGGGAAAUAUGGAGUAUGCAUUCCAAAAAGAUGACGUCCUACAACCAAUCAGCUUCCUACAUCAGCUUAGUUUAUUGACAGUCACAACAACAACCAGCAGUCUGACAACAACAACAACAACUACAACAACAACAACAACGUCUCCACCAACUUUGAUGGGAGUGGUUACUAUAUUUAUUAAGCUUCAGUUCAUCACUCUGGGCCCAAUACCGAGUGAAAACAGCAUCAUACCACUGGUCAAUUCUUUGGUCACUUCUCGUUUGCAAACUAAGGAUGUCACCACACAAAACAUGCAAGCGAGCUAUGUGAAUGUCACCUAUAACAGGAUUAGUGAUUUCUCCUAUGUACUCAUAUUUGAAUUCAAAAUCAGCAAUGUGCCCAUGCGUGAGACAUUUGAACUGAGGAAUGAAACCUACGUUCAAAUCCAAACCUCUAUAAACAAUUUGCUGCCCAAAGUCCUGAAUGACCCCACACCUCCUCAAAUUGAAUUAAAUCAAGUGGUGUUCAACAAUACUAAUAAUGAGAUUCAGGCCAAUGUUCAGUUUGUUUUCUCACAAAGUAAUGUAAACACAACCAGUACCUUGGUCCAAGAAAUUCUGAAAGUUAAUGGAGUUAUUACCACAUCUGCACCUGCUUUAACGACAGCCAGCACAUUGUUGAUAACCUCUCCUCCAACCUUGCUUGGGAAGGUGGUUAUCUACAUCAGCCUUAUAUUUAAAACAAAAGGCCCUCUGCCAAGUCAGAGCAACGUCCUUCAGAUGGCAAAUUCCCUGUUGUUGAGAUUUAAAAUGAAAUCUAAAAGAUCCAUCACAGAAAAAGAGCUGCAAGACCUUGUGAAUGGUGUCAAUGUCACUUAUACAAAACUUGAUGAUACCUCAUUCUCUCUGAACUUUGGAUUUGAAAUCAGCAACGUAACCAUGUCUGAGAAAGUUGAACUCAGGAAUGACACCUAUGUCGUGAUCCAGACCUACAUAAACAGCUUUGUGAGUUGUGAGAGAAAUUGCGUUAUUUCAUGCCCAUCAAUCACAACAUUUUACUCAUCUUUUUUUUUUCUUCCAUAGGUGUCCAAGAUCCUCAAUAAAACAACAACUGUUGACUUUAACUUCAACCAAAUUGCUUUCUUGUAAGUUCACUUUAAGAAGAAAUAUUUUAAUGAUUUAAAACAGUGUUGCCAGACGGAUAAUAAUUAGUGUUUUGUACGAUAAUUUUGACCUCUGUACGAUGUAUGAUCAAUAAUGAAAAAAAUCCUAUAAAAUACGAUAAUUUCAGAAUUUUAUGGCAUUUAAAACACAUUUCAUUGUAAUCUUAGGGCUUCUAUAUAUUGAUCUAGCUGCAUCUUUUGUCUACUGUCUGUGAAGAGAACGUGGAGUUAGACACAUUUUCUAUCUCAUCUCACGUUACACUUUCUCAGCCAAUCAACGUGGAAAAUGACUUUUUCUUGUGAAUUAACAUUCCUGCUGCGCAUGGCAGUGCUUAAGUCAGUCAGUUUCAGGUACAGGUUGAUUGAGGUUGAACUUUAUUGCUUUAUUGCAAUAAAGUUUUGUAAAAGUAGUGCUGGAAAGGAAAGUGAGAAGGACAGGGGAGUUUGCCCAUUCAAAUGCGUCAUGUCAACGUGUUUUUCCAAAGUUAUACUUUAAAUAGGCUCAUGCACACCUCAGAGUUUGUAAAAAUUUGGGAAAGUGCACUGCUUUCAAGCCAUUUAGCACUAUGUUGCCCGUGCAUGACGGCAUCCGAUUUGUACCCCAAAAUGAAUCCCUUAACAUCUGGCAACACAAGCAGGACAGUGACUCGGAGGUGGAGUUUAGAUCUUUCCCCUCAGGUAUGCCUAGUGUUUUUUUUUUUUUUUUUUACGUAAUUCGGUAAUUUGCACCAGGUGUCAAAACGCUAUCUGACUAGAUAAUGCCUGUAUACUCUCCGUUUGACUUGUGUAUGAUAAUUUUCCUCCAAUAAGAUAAUUUUGAGGUUCUGGUACGAUACUUUGACAUUUCCAAUCUGGCAACACUGAUUUAAAAACAGCUUUCAUUAGUAGUUUUAUGAAUGAUGGUAGGAGCAUGACAUGCUCAGUUUAUUUAUUUAUUCAUUUCUCAUUGUGCGUUUUAAUCUCUCUACAGGAGCAAUUCCUCCAUCAUUGAAGCCAAUGUCACGUACGUGUUCUCAGACAGUGAUGUUGGUGCUUUUGGCUUGGUCGCCUCUAUACUCGGAGCUUCCACCACACCUGCUCCAGCCACCACUUACCCUACAGUUCUGAACACUACGAUUUCAGGCAACAGCACAAAUGCAGCAUGGGUUGUGGCUAUCAUUGUACCCUGCGCGAUUGUCAUCAUGCUUGUACCUUGCUGGAUUCUCCUUUGUGUACGUAUUAUGAUGACAGGAUGUCAAAUAUUUGCAAUGCAUGCUUUGUUUUCAUGGUAAAUGAUAUGCUAAAAUGUGAUUUCCAGGAUAUUGACGCUUAUUUUAUCUGUCCUCAGUGUUUGCUGUGUGGUUGCUGUGCAGCAAUCAGAAGACGUUGGCACAGGAGACAGUCUUACAAUGUACAGUACUCCACUCGAAACAGCCUCUUCUAGAGAAAUUCAAGAGCAAAGCCUGGAUGUCUAUAAUAUGUAAACUAUUAUUUAAGGAAAUAUUUAUUUAUUUGAAAAUGAUGCUAAUGUAAUGAUGAACUUGAAUUUACGUAAUGUUUGGGACAAAUGUAGAAUGUGUUGAUCACUUCUUUCUUCACACUUCAUGUAUUUUAUCCUCAUAAUAUAUUUAAUUGCCCCCUUUUUCCACAAAUCCACAUGAAUGUGAAUGUAUUGUCUGUAUUGUUGAAAUGGUAUUUUAUUAAAAGCAGUUUAUACAAAUAUGAUUUUGUAUUGAAAGUUGUUGACACAUACAGACACACAUUUAGACUCUGCAAAAGACAAAAAGAAAACAAUUUAUGAAGUAUUUUCAACAUUGUACUUAUCUCCCUUUAUUAGGCCCAUGGUGUCAGACAUUUUGUAAUGAUGUUUGUGAGCAGUUAAAUAAAGAUAUAAAGCUAGAAUCUUCCAUUUCAAUCUAUUGUCAUAAAAAGCUUUGUUUUUUUUUAAUAAGUAUUAAAAAUUAAAAUCCUGUGGCAAUGACAUUUAUACAUUUAGCUAGGUUUAUUUAUCCAUUCAUCCAUGCAUCCUUGCAUUUAUUCACUCAUUCAUUUAUUUUGGCUUAGUCCCUUAUUUAUCACAGCGGAACAAACCACCAUCUUUUCAGGCAUAUGUUUUAUGCAGCUGAUCCUCGUCCUGAUGCAACCCAGUACUGGGAAACACCCACACACUCUCACAUUCACACACACACUCAUACACUACGACCAAUUUAGUUCAUCCAAUUUACUUACAGUGCAUGUCUGUGGACUGUGGGGGAAACCAGAGCACCUGGAGGAAGCCCACACAUGGGGAAAACAUGCAAACUUAACAUAAAAAAUUCCAAUUAGGACUCAAACCAGUGACCU